CCUACGGGAGGCAGCAGUGGGGAAUUUUCCGCAAUGGGCGCAAGCCUGACGGAGCAAGACCGCGUGAGGGAAGAAGGUCUGUGGAUUGUAAACCUCUUUUGAUAGGGAAGAAGACAGUGACGGUACCUAUCGAAUCAGCCUCGGCUAACUCCGUGCCAGCAGCCGCGGUAAUACGGAGGAGGCAAGCGUUAUCCGGAAUUAUUGGGCGUAAAGAGUCCGUAGGUGGGUAACCAAGUCAGUUGUUAAAACGUGAAGCUUAACUUCAUAGCGGCGACUGAAACUGGUUGUCUAGAGUGUGGUAGGGGUAGAGGGAAUUUCCAGUGUAGCGGUGAAAUGCGUAGAUAUUGGAAAGAACACCGGUGGCGAAAGCGCUCUACUGGGCCUGCACUGACACUGAGGGACGAAAGCUAGGGGAGCGAAAGGGAUUAGAUACCCUUGUAGUC
RNAcentral lists this ribosomal RNA (443 nucleotides) under Leptolyngbya sp. THF. RNAcentral describes it as "bacterial SSU rRNA". It matches the Rfam family "Bacterial small subunit ribosomal RNA", at positions 338 to 795 of the family's 1533-position model. The record is from RNAcentral. Lineage: Bacteria; Bacillati; Cyanobacteriota; Cyanophyceae; Leptolyngbyales; Leptolyngbyaceae.